Molecule: transfer RNA, 78 nt
Filed under: Verrucomicrobiia bacterium
Lineage: Bacteria; Pseudomonadati; Verrucomicrobiota; Verrucomicrobiia
Also listed under: 1 other name
Description: tRNA-Arg
Rfam family: tRNA
About the family: Transfer RNA (tRNA) molecules are approximately 80 nucleotides in length. Their secondary structure includes four short double-helical elements and three loops (D, anti-codon, and T loops).
Source: RNAcentral
GCGCCCGUAGCUCAAUCUGGAUAGAGCAGGGGACUCCUAAGCCCAAGGUUGCCAGUUCGAUUCUGGCCGGGCGCACCA